This 960-nucleotide ribosomal RNA is filed under the name Flavoparmelia rutidota. RNAcentral's name for it is "eukaryotic LSU rRNA". It matches the Rfam family "Eukaryotic large subunit ribosomal RNA", at positions 71 to 936 of the family's 3401-position model. The record is from RNAcentral. Lineage: Eukaryota; Fungi; Ascomycota; Lecanoromycetes; Lecanorales; Parmeliaceae.
GGGAUUGCCUCAGUAACGGCGAGUGAAGCGGCAACAGCUCAAAUUUGAAAUCUGGCUCCUCUCGGGGUCCGAGUUGUAAUUUGUAGAGAGUGUUUCGGGGGAGACCGCGGUCUAAGUCCAUUGGAACAUGGCGUCAAAGAGGGUGAGAAUCCCGUCUGUGACCGCGAAUCGAUCCCAUGUGAAGCCUCUUCGACGAGUCGAGUUGUUUGGGAAUGCAGCUCAAAAUGGGUGGUAAAUUUCAUCUAAAGCUAAAUACUGGCUGGAGACCGAUAGCGCACAAGUAGAGUGAUCGAAAGAUGAAAAGCACUUUGGAAAGAGAGUUAAACAGUACGUGAAAUUGUUGAAAGGGAAGCGCUUGCGACCAGACCUGCCCGUGGGCGAUCAGCCGCUGUUCUCAGCGGUGCACUCGUUCCACGAUCAGGCCAGCAUCGGUUUCGGCGGUCGGAUAAAGGCCUUGGGAAUGUAGCUUCCCUUCGGGGGAGUCUUAUAGCCCUCGGUGCAAUGCGGCCAGCCGGGACCGAGGACCGCGCUUCGGCUAGGAUGCUGGCGUAAUGGUCGUAAGCGACCCGUCUUGAAACACGGACCAAGGAGUCUAACAUCUAUGCGAGUGUUUGGGUGUUAAACCCAUACGCGGAAUGAAAGUGAACGGAGGUGAGAACCCUUAAGGGCGCAUCAUCGACCGAUCCAGAUGUCUUCGGAUGGAUUUGAGUAUGAGCAUAGCUGUUGGGACCCGAAAGGUUAGUCACUUUCGCAUAGCAUGUAGCUUAGAAGUUUUUACUAAUUAAUUUUACAGAUGGUGAACUAUGCCUGAAUAGGGUGAAGCCAGAGGAAACUCUGGUGGAGGCUCGCAGCGGUUCUGACGUGCAAAUCGAUCGUCAAAUUUGGGCAUAGGGGUUAGUCUCGAACUUCUAACACCAUUAAUAACGUAGUACUAACUUUUUCCUAGGCGAAAGACUAAUC